GACGAACGCUGGCGGCGUGCUUAACACAUGCAAGUCGAACGAUGAAGCCUUAGCUUGCUUUGGUGGAUUAGUGGCGAACGGGUGAGUAACACGUGAGCAACGUGCCCAGGACUCUGGAAUAACCGCGGGAAACCGUGGCUAAUACCGGAUGGGUGCCGAGGCCGCAUGGUCUUCGGUUGGAAAGUUUUUGCGGUUCUGGAUCGGCUCACGGCCUAUCAGCUUGUUGGUGGGGUAAUGGCCUACCAAGGCGACGACGGGUAGCCGGCCUGAGAGGGUGACCGGCCACACUGGGACUGAGACACGGCCCAGACUCCUACGGGAGGCAGCAGUGGGGAAUAUUGCACAAUGGGCGCAAGCCUGAUGCAGCAACGCCGCGUGGGGGAUGACGGCCUUCGGGUUGUAAACCUCUUUUAGUAGGGAAGAAGCGCAAGUGACGGUACCUGCAGAAAAAGCACCGGCUAACUACGUG
Molecule: ribosomal RNA, 469 nt
Filed under: uncultured bacterium
Lineage: Bacteria
Description: partial 16S ribosomal RNA
Rfam family: Bacterial small subunit ribosomal RNA
Source: RNAcentral